AGCGAACGCUGGCGGCAGGCCUAACACAUGCAAGUCGAACGAACUCUUCGGAGUUAGUGGCGGACGGGUGAGUAACACGUGGGAACGUGCCUUUUGGUUCGGAAUAACUCAGGGAAACUUGUGCUAAUACCGAAUGUGCCCUUCGGGGGAAAGAUUUAUCGCCAUUAGAUCGGCCCGCGUCUGAUUAGCUAGUUGGUGAGGUAACGGCUCACCAAGGCGACGAUCAGUAGCUGGUCUGAGAGGAUGACCAGCCACACUGGGACUGAGACACGGCCCAGACUCCUACGGGAGGCAGCAGUGGGGAAUCUUGCGCAAUGGGCGAAAGCCUGACGCAGCCAUGCCGCGUGAAUGAUGAAGGUCUUAGGAUUGUAAAAUUCUUUCACCGGGGACGAUAAUGACGGUACCCGGAGAAGAAGCCCCGGCUAACUUCGUG
RNAcentral lists this ribosomal RNA (433 nucleotides) under uncultured bacterium. RNAcentral's name for it is "partial 16S ribosomal RNA". It matches the Rfam family "Bacterial small subunit ribosomal RNA", at positions 29 to 507 of the family's 1533-position model. The record is from RNAcentral.